This is a long non-coding RNA of Centropristis striata (black sea bass), 1279 nucleotides long. RefSeq lists it as uncharacterized. The transcript has 2 exons. Lineage: Eukaryota; Metazoa; Chordata; Actinopteri; Perciformes; Serranidae. The record is from RefSeq and is a predicted model, not a curated record.
CUACGGAUCUAUCUAUAUCGCCAGACGCAAUGAUGUCAGCCAGGUUGGGGUCCGUUCAUGGUAAUAUCUGGGAUUGCGCCUGAUUCGCCCAUAGCUGCCCGACACUGGCUGUCCCCAGAGGGAAUGACAAUGAGCAGUGCGGCUGAGGUCGGCCGACACUGAUGCUGAGGGAUUAUUUAUAGCGGACAGUGACAUUUCUUUCUUCACCGCCCCAAAAGGACAGGAGGCUCUCUAUCAAAGAGGGGAACCUGCCCCGGAUCACGCAUGAGACAAACGGACCUGUUUCCACCGCCUGCCUACAUGAUGACAGAGACAUUUCAGACUAUAUGGCAGAGUGUGAAGGGCUUUAAAAACAUGGCAAAUGGACAAUCCAGGAAAAAAGUAAUGGGACAUUUAGCAGCAUCACAAUGAAGGAACUUGGACUGAGCAGAGGACAUCGAGGGACGCCUGAAGGAACGGAAGUGCACCACACAAACUGUUUUUUUUUGUUUUUGUUUACAGGACACUACCGUAUAUUAACUUUGAUUAACUUAACUUAAAUACAUUGUAACACAGUUCCACAGUAAUGUUCAGCAGUACACAUUUUAUACAUCUAAUAUCCUCCAUAGUUAUGUUACUUGAUUUGUCUAGAAUACUCAAUUAAUUUGACUUGUGUUGUGUCUUACAUGUAACAUUGUAUUGGUUUGGUAAUCCUGUUCAGUGAUGUGGUGACAUGUAUCAGUGUAUGGCCGCCAGGCGGGUGGGACCGCAGUUCGACUUUCCUCAUAAACAUGACAGCCUGUAUGAGGUUUUCACGAACUGUACACUGAGCCGCAUCUUACAAACAGAACAUAUAGAAGUGUUUUAUCAUUGUUUAUAAUCCACCUGUGUAUCUCAUGAUAAGGAUUAUGUUGUGAAUUAAUUUGAAGAUGUAUUAAAAUAUCUGACAUAUAGCAGUUUAAAUAUGCAUCAAACAUGUUUUGAUAAACACAGAAAUCUGACCAACAGUCACAGUCUCUUUACAGGAAACUUCUGCUUGAUUAAGGUCAGAGCAGCUCUGAUUUAGGAAAUCCCAAGUGUGCUCUGAUAUCAAAAGUGGAACAUAACAGGAAAUGACAGGACAUUAAACUUUAGUGACACAGAAAUAAUGAGGCACGAACCUGCAAAAUAAAAAGAGACACAGGGUGUUGUCUCGCACAGAGUUGUUCUACCAUUUGGAUUUGUCUGUCACCUUUGAAAUCUGUAUCUGUUUUUGAUACUUGCAAAAUAAAUCCCGCACAAAGACUGUAAUUCGAAUCUA